RNAcentral lists this transfer RNA (73 nucleotides) under Brassica napus (rape). Its description in RNAcentral is "tRNA-Tyr (GTA) (tRNA-Tyr-GTA-11-1)". It matches the Rfam family "tRNA". Rfam says of the family: Transfer RNA (tRNA) molecules are approximately 80 nucleotides in length. Their secondary structure includes four short double-helical elements and three loops (D, anti-codon, and T loops). The record is from RNAcentral. Lineage: Eukaryota; Viridiplantae; Streptophyta; Magnoliopsida; Brassicales; Brassicaceae.
CCGACCUUAACUCAGUUGGUAGAGCGGAGGACUGUAGAUCCUUAGGUCACUGGUUCGAAUCCGGUAGGUCGGA